UUUACCUCCCACUCUCCCUCUUCCCAAUCCAAAUUUACCGCGACCAAUUCCAGGCCUUUGCAUUGGUCUGGAUGACAGAGAAGUGAUCUGGGCCAACGUGUCAGAAGAGGGCCGAACUCUUCCUCCCAGGACUAGUUCUUCUCUUCUAAAGACCAAGUUCUCCAAAGCUACUUACUGCCCUGUGUAGAGGCAGGCCUACCACAGAAUCACCCCAGACUGGUACCCUUUGGUCCCAUUGCACUUAGUAAAAUAAAAGGCAUUGUCGGCCCAGGUAUUCCUGCUGCCCCCAUGCACUCCACGCCCCUUCAACAACCACAAGCUUUAUUUGAGGAAGGGAACCUCCAGAUUCACUCAGCGAAGCCAACACGGUAACCGGAUUUGCACUCCUAUCUCAGUUGUCUCCCCACGCCUAAUUUACCAAGCAGGCUUAGGGCCUACAGUGUAACCCACGGGAAGGAGAACAGAGCAGCGGCAGGUCCCCUCACCCGCUGGCGUGUCUGUGGUGACAACUUCCUGUCUUCACGUUAGGCUCUAGUGCUGCCAACCUCCUAGGAAGGGUAACCUGUGGGUGUCAAAGUCGCUGAUAUCCUAAGUGUGACUAAAAAUCGGGCAGGGCUUAUGGAGGGGCGGGCACUGCGGGGCGAGGUGAUAAAGCUCCGGCUACUUAAAGAGGCAGAGUGCUGGUGGGAGGGUCACAGCAAAAUGUUUUGUAUUCUAGAGUUUUAAGGUCAGUUUGCUCUCACUAAUGAGUUUCCAACAUACUUGCCCUUUCAGACCCACCUUUGCCAACGUUUUUAUUCAAACUUCAGUGUGUGCGUGCAUGCACACACACAUUCCCUCUUUCUCACUAACUUCUGAGAAUUACUGCUUUGCAGAAAGUUUAGAGAAAAUACUUUUUCCCUCCUGAGUUUAUUCUUAGCCUACUUCAAGUAGGCAUUUCGUCACCUUCCUUACAAGUCUUGGCACAGCAGAUGAGUGAAGUUCCCUGGCUCUUCCUCAGUUCUUAAUGACUACGGUACUUUGCUCAGUGUCAAUAAAUAUGUGAUUGCUUGGGUGCCUGAGUUAGCUACUCAACAGUUCUACUGCGACAGGUGUCCAGGGCUUAAAAACUCUGUGCAUGCAGAAGACAGGUUUUGUGUUGGUAAAUUAACAAUCGCAGUAUGUUCUCCUGAAUCCUCCCGACGGGCAUCACUUCAACUUUUAAGUGUGGAUUUGAUUACUAAAAAUGGUCAAAAUUCAUUCCAAAUGAAGUCCAGUGUUCCUACAGAGUUAAUACUGGUUUUCCUAAAUGCGACAAAUAAGGUGUGAAACCCCGUAUCAUUGUUAAAGCCGAGCCGGUAAGGGCAUCACCAAGAUCACUUUUCAUUCUUCAUCAAACUGCUAGUGUCACAAUACGAGUCAGGGUACACUGCAGGAUCCCAUCUGGGCUCGUCCGGUCUGCUGACAGUGUGUCACACACCCGGUCUCUCUGGCCAGAGCCCGCAGUGGGCGCAGCAGAGAGAAUGCGGCUUUUCCCGCGGCCUCUAGAGGUCCUACCGACUGCGAUCAGUCAGAACUUUUUCAACCACCAUGCCCAUAGCCUUACUUCCUACGAAAUUAGGAUGGCCCGUUGUGGAUUCAGUGACCCUUUAUGAAUCUCCGAUCCACAGCUCCCUGCUCCAGUAAAGCAGGCUAACUGCUCAUUUCCCGUCCAAGAAUUCACGUUCUUGUUCUAGGAUCUUCUAAACUUGCAGGCACAUUAGAAUCGCGUGGGGGGGGACUUAAAAAAAAACAAAACACCCAGGCUCCACCCCAGGCAAAUUAGACCAUGCCAGGGUGGGCCCUGGCACCAAUUUAUUUUUUAAGGUCCCCGGCUUCAUCUCACGUUCAGCCGAGAUCAAAACAGUGUGCCUGUCUCCGCCUUACAGGAUCACCCUGUGGCAAUGAGCAUCCCGAAUUAGUACUUAUUGGCUAAUAAACAUGGGACUGAUUGAACUAUUCUUGUCCAUUGUUUUUAUCUUGCUGUUUACUCAGUGAGCUUGGCUUGUAGAUAUUGUUUUCCUUACACAAUUUUUUUACAACUACAAUUCAACGCCAAGAACUAACGUAUGUAGACUGCUUUCUGUACUUCCUUGAUUUUGAAUUCAGCCUGUUUAGCCCGGUCUCUCCAGUAAUGUGCCCGCCUUUCUAAUUUGUUACAAUUCCUCAUAUACAUAAAACUGGUUAUCUGGCAUAAGUUGCUGGUAGAAGUGAACGCAUUAUAUAGAUAGGUCUGACACUUUCUGCAUCAAGCUUUGUUUUCAGUCUCUGCUCACACAUACUGUUCUUCCCACUGCUUCCCAAAUUGCCGUCUCGGGCCAGCUUCUCCCCAGCACAGGCAGGCAGACUGGAAGCGAAGAAACAACCGCUGCCUGGCCUUGAACGAAAAGAUGCACCAACAACAUCCAGGAAAUUGUUUAACUGGUCAACAAGUAAUUCUGCAUCGAUGUCAACACUUUCUUAGGCCUGCAGUAUGUUUCAAAGUGCUUUCAAAGACCUUUCCUCAUUUGAGUGACCUAUGUAAAGUUAGUAAAGUGGGCAUUAUCCUCAUACUAGGAAUGAGAAAACCAAAAUGAGAUUCAAACUCUGGCCUCCUGACUUCCUUUCCAAGAACUUUUUCAUUACGAUAAGCCUUAUUCUUAUAAAAGCAUUAUAGAUGCUGGACAUAAAGUAUUUUACAUUACAAACACGGGGAGGAAGAACCCACUUUCCAAAAAGAACCACUGAAUGGCCCCAGCACCCUAGAUCCAUCAUUGUUAUUUUGGUAUGCCUUCUUUUUGUUUUCCUGUGCUUUAAGUAAAAUGCAGUCGAAUGUGUACUGUGUAUUUAAAACAAAAUGUUAUAGUUUUGCUGGAAUUUUGUCAGUUUGUAUGGCUUUGGAGUAAUUAUAAUACGGUUAGAAUAGGAGUCUAAGAAUAAACUCCAAGGUGUUUAUUCUACUGUGUCAGAUGCAAUCUCUCAACAGGGCAGAAUCUGGGGAGAAACCAGACAAGGA
Long non-coding RNA from Acinonyx jubatus (cheetah), 3013 nucleotides. RefSeq lists it as uncharacterized. The transcript has 3 exons. The record is from RefSeq and is a predicted model, not a curated record. Lineage: Eukaryota; Metazoa; Chordata; Mammalia; Carnivora; Felidae.